RNAcentral lists this long non-coding RNA (309 nucleotides) under Bos indicus x Bos taurus (hybrid cattle). Its description in RNAcentral is "lncRNA (ENSBIXG00005027476.1)". Lineage: Eukaryota; Metazoa; Chordata; Mammalia; Artiodactyla; Bovidae. The record is from RNAcentral.
UAAGAAUCUGCAGGGAGAGGCUGAGAGACCACUGCUCCUUGGUGAUUCUGCUCAGUCAGUUACUGCUGGGGCGACAGGUGCUGGAACUCUGCCGAGGCCUGCCACACAACGAAGAGCAACGCAACGACCAGGGUCUUCACAAAACUUAAUUUUCACAAGACAAUCAUCGACAAUCUGGUUAGAUGGUUGUGUGCCAUUUUCAAAAUGCCAGUUGAGAACAUGGAUGCCUUCUUUCUCCACAGGGGUAAGAGUCAUAAGUUGCUUCUAUAAAUAGUUCCUCUAUACAUUUAUAUAUAUAUAUAUAUUUUA